RNAcentral lists this long non-coding RNA (401 nucleotides) under Mus caroli (Ryukyu mouse). RNAcentral's name for it is "lncRNA (MGP_CAROLIEiJ_G0005432.1)". The record is from RNAcentral. Lineage: Eukaryota; Metazoa; Chordata; Mammalia; Rodentia; Muridae.
AAAACCACCACUGGAAAAAAAUCAAAGGACAACUAACAAAAAAGUACCAUGGUAUUUUCUUUGAAAUUGUAUCUUCUUUAUAGCACAAGGAAGUUACGAAUGUGAAAGGUCAUCAAUAUGAUUGCCUCAGCGAAACCACAUCAAUGACCACACCAACUGACACGCUAACAUAGGGAGCUCGAAGUGCCUUGUAGAUGUUAUCACAUGAAUCCUCUCACUGUCCCAGUGAGGCCAGGAACAAAUAGUCUGCCAUCCUGGAGAACAGACUGAGAAAGCUGUUAUCAGGGAACAUAGGAUACACAGCAGUCUCCAUGAAGGAUGGAUGCAGUGCAUGUUGUUGCAGUGGUUUGUGAAAGCUCACAUCCUAGCAGCAUCAUUUGGAUGGAUGGUAAGUGAUUGAU